UUAAGUUCAGCGGGUAGUCCUACCUGAUUUGAGGUCAAAUUUGUCAAAUGUGCACUCCCCAUAACAGGGAUUCACUUGUUAAGAAGCAGUGCAAUCCAUUCUUGCAGAGUACUAAAGGCAUAGAUAAUUAUCACACCUGUAGCAGUUUCUCUGCUAGGAGACCACUAAUGCAUUUCAGGGGAGCCGACUUUGAAAAGCCU
RNAcentral lists this unclassified non-coding RNA (200 nucleotides) under Inocybe sp. Its description in RNAcentral is "partial internal transcribed spacer 2". The record is from RNAcentral. Lineage: Eukaryota; Fungi; Basidiomycota; Agaricomycetes; Agaricales; Inocybaceae.